RNAcentral lists this ribosomal RNA (496 nucleotides) under uncultured bacterium. RNAcentral's name for it is "partial 16S ribosomal RNA". It matches the Rfam family "Bacterial small subunit ribosomal RNA", at positions 30 to 523 of the family's 1533-position model. The record is from RNAcentral.
AUUGAGCGCUGGCGGAAUGCUUUACACAUGCAAGUCGAACGGUAGAGGGGGCAACCCCUCGAGAGUGGCGAACGGGUGAGUAAUAUAUCGGAACGUGCCCAGUCGUGGGGGAUAACGUAGCGAAAGUUACGCUAAUACCGCAUACGAUCUAAGGAUGAAAGCGGGGGAUCGCAAGACCUCGCGCGAUUGGAGCGGCCGAUAUCAGAUGAGGUAGUUGGUGGGGUAAAGGCUCACCAAGCCAACGAUCUGUAGCUGGUCUGAGAGGACGACCAGCCACACUGGAACUGAGACACGGUCCAGACUCCUACGGGAGGCAGCAGUGGGGGAUUUUGGACAAUGGACGCAAGUCUGAUCCAGCCAUUCCGCGUGCAGGAUGAAGGCCCUCGGGUUGUAAACUGCUUUUGUACGGAACGAAAAGGUCUCUCUUAAUACGGGGGACUCAUGACGGUACCGUAAGAAUAAGCACCGGCUAACUACGUGCCAGCAGCCGCCGUAA